This is a long non-coding RNA of Solanum pennellii, 2682 nucleotides long. RefSeq lists it as uncharacterized. Lineage: Eukaryota; Viridiplantae; Streptophyta; Magnoliopsida; Solanales; Solanaceae. The record is from RefSeq and is a predicted model, not a curated record. The transcript has 4 exons.
ACAGAAUUUUGUGUAUCAGAUUAGCAAUCAAUGUAUUCAAUGAUGGUGCUUUCCAACCAAGUUGGAAAUGAUUUUGGGGUUGAGUUUCUGCCUUUUCAUCUAAUCAUUUUAAGAUAAGUGCUUGAACCCCCACUUAAAUCACACCAUUCAAGGCAAUUUUUUGAAGACUUUUAGUUAAAUUUGGGGCACUGUAUUUUCUGCAAACAAACUGUUUGAUUGAUUGUCUCAAUGAGAAAUAGAAUCCGGCUUUUCCUUAUAAUUAGAAGAUGAAGAAUGCAAGACCAACUCUGCUGCAAUUGAAGUUCGUAUGUAAACGCUGCAAUUGAAGUUCGUAUGAGCUAUUCUUGAAGCUCUACUUCUUAGGGAAAUGCAUAAGCAAAAACAUUACUGACAUAGAUCUAUCAGCUCUACUUACCUUGAAAGCCAGCUUUACUAUAAGCUCUUCUCAUCCCUUAACUCAAAAUUGGUCAUCUCAAGCUUCAGUUUGUGAUUGGAUUGGAGUCACUUGCGGUUCUCGCCACCAUAGGGUGGCUGCAUUAGGUAUAUCCAACAUGAACAUACUUGGAAACAAUAUUCCUCCACAUUUGGGAAACCUCUCUUUUUUCAUUUCUCUAAAUCUAAGCAAAAAUAAUUUACAUGGAUACCUCCCUCAAGAUUUGUCUCGUUUACAUCGAUUGAAAAUGAUGGAUCUCGGGUACAAUAAAUUUCAGCGGAGAGAUUCCAAUGUGGUUUGGCUUCAACUCUUCUUUCAUUUCCAAGUUAGAAACUCUGAGUGAUAGAAACAAUCGUCUUCAAGGAAGUAUCCCCAAGGAGAUUGGGAAUCUUAAGAAUCUAAAGGAGAUGAUUUUAUUCGAUAACCAAUUUACUGGCUCUAUUCCGUUCUCCAUUUUCAACAUGUCCUCAUUGGAAACUUUAGGUCUAUCAGGUAAUCAAUUAACCGGGACUCUUCCUGUAUAUAUAUGCCGCCAUCUUCAAAAAAUCAAGAGCAUUGCAAUCAUUUCCAACCACCUGAGUGGUCACAUUCCACCUGGUUUGACCAACUGCACGGAACUGGAUGAAUUGUCAUUAUCAUACAAUAACUUCAGUGGGACCAUUCCACCAGAGAUUGUAAACUUGGAGAGGCUUGAACGCUUGAAUCUUGGGGAAACAACUUGCAAGGCAUAAUUCCAGCAAACAUUGGUAAUUUGCGAAAGUUGCAGAAAUUACAAGUUGAGAACAAUCACAUUGUAGGUUUGAUACCGCGCACCAUAUCCAACUUAUCAUCACUAUGGUUGCUUAAUUUAAACAUCAAUAAUUUAUCAGGUGUUACACCCAGAGAGAUGGGGAAUCUUCACAAAUUGGAGAGACUUUAUUUGCAAUUUAAUAAGUUAAUUGGUUCCAUACCGGGGGAGCUCUUCAAUAUCUCUACGCUAACAAGGGUGCAACUUGUAGUCAAUAACCUUUCGGGUAGUCUUCCAUCUGCUUCAGGCUACUGGCAGACAAAUUUAGUGCUUUUAAAUCUUGCUGAAAACACAUUGGUGGAGUUAUACCCAGCUCAAUCUCCAAUUCUUCAAAUCUAAUGGAUUUAUUUCUUAAUGAUAACAAAUUCAGUGGCCAAAGUCCUAACUCAUUGGGGGAUUUGAGGCAUCUUGAAUAUCUGGAGUUGUUCAAUAAUAACUUGUCAUUUCCGCAUCUAAGUAUCUUUGCUUCCUUGGUGAACUGCAGAAAUUUGACAAGCUUAUGGUGUGCGGGUAAUCCUCUGAAUGGUGUUCUUCCGGAUUCCAUUGGCAAUCUCUCCAGUUAUAUUGAAAUAUUUGAUUUAUCUCGUACUGAAAUUAGGGGUCAGAUACCAUUAGGAAUUGGGAACUUAAGUAACUUAAACACUUUGUCAUUAUGCUCAUGGAAACUUUCACAAGAAAAAGGCCAUAUGAUGAAAUGUUUCAAGAAAAUUUGAACAUGAGGAGUUGGGUCUGUAAUUCACUACCUGUAGCAUUAGAAGAUAUUAUUGAUGACACCUUAUUGCAACCUGAAGAGAUUAAUUUUGAGAAAAAGUUGUGUUGUGUGUCCUCUAUUUUGAACUUGGCAUUGAAUUGCACAGUUGAAUCUCCUAAUGAGAGGCCGAACAUGAAAGAUGUCCUGGCAAAUAUCAAUAAGAUCAAACAAGAACUUCUUUGCAGAUGAUGUAACAAGGUUUAUGUGAUGGUAAUGCUGCCUUCCACUCCUCGCGUAACAAAUCUGGGUGACCCCAAUUGAAAUGAAAACCAAUCUUUGCUCCGAGAAUAGAACAUGUUUUACUAAAGUUGGUAUGGAGAAUGUGUUGGAGACUUUUAGUUAAAUUUGGGUCACUGUAUUUUCUGCAGACAAACUGUUUGAUUGAUUGUCUCAAAGAGAAAUAGAAUCUGGCUUUUCCUAAUAAUUAGAAGACGAAGAAUACAAGACAAAUUUCCUAUAUUUCCUUUCUUGGCGAAGAGAUUGAUUAGUAUACGAAAUCCAGGAUAGCUUACUGAACCUCAUAUGUGUGAUGUAGGUUCAAUCAAUGGUUAGGUCUGUCUAACCACUAAUUGUCUCCCUAAAUUGAUUUGUCUAUGUAACCAUUCCAUAAAUCAAUUCAAGAUUCUCCCUAUGCACUCUAUAAACCUUCAAGAAAAAACACAAAGGUUAUGUUAAUGUGGGUUUUGAAUAUGAACAGAAUUUUGAUGAUUA